RNAcentral lists this small RNA (524 nucleotides) under Pongo abelii (Sumatran orangutan). RNAcentral describes it as "retained intron". The record is from RNAcentral. Lineage: Eukaryota; Metazoa; Chordata; Mammalia; Primates; Hominidae.
AUAAUUACAUUUUAUUUAAAUACCUACUUGAUGACUAUUAUAGACAAAAGCUCUUAUGUGUUCUUUUCUUCGUUAUUAUAGUUCUGCAGAAUCAGAAGAUUUGGCAGUACAUUUAUAUCCAGGAGCUGUUACUAUUCAAGGUGUUCUCAGGAGAAAAACUUUGUUAAAAGAAGGCAAAAAGCCUACAGUAGCAUCUUGGACAAAAUAUUGGGCAGCUUUGUGUGGGACACAGCUUUUUUACUAUGCUGCCAAAUCUCUAAAGGCUACAGAAAGAAAACAUUUCAAAUCAACAUCCAAUAAGAACGUAUCUGUGGUAGGAUGGAUGGUGAUGAUGGCUGAUGACCCUGAACAUCCGGAUCUCUUCCUGCUGACUGACUCUGAGAAAGGAAAUUCGUACAAGUUUCAAGCUGGCAAUAGAAUGAAUGCAAUGUUAUGGUUUAAGCAUUUGAGUGCAGCCUGCCAAAGUAACAAACAACAGGUUCCUACAAACUUGAUGACUUUUGAGUAGAAGCCUGAGAAAAAAA